RNAcentral lists this ribosomal RNA (396 nucleotides) under uncultured bacterium. RNAcentral describes it as "partial 16S ribosomal RNA". It matches the Rfam family "Bacterial small subunit ribosomal RNA", at positions 523 to 918 of the family's 1533-position model. The record is from RNAcentral.
AUACGUAGGUGGCGAGCGUUAUCCGGAUUUACUGGGUGUAAAGGGCGCGUAGGCGGGGAAGCAAGUCAGAUGUGAAAUCCAUGGGCUCAACUCAUGAACUGCAUUUGAAACUGUUUCUCUUGAGUGCCGGAGAGGUAGACGGAAUUCCUAGUGUAGCGGUGAAAUGCGUAGAUAUUAGGAGGAACACCAGUGGCGAAGGCGGUCUACUGGACGGUAACUGACGCUGAGGCGCGAAAGCGUAGGGAGCAAACAGGAUUAGAUACCCUGGUAGUCCACGCUGUAAACGAUGAAUACUAGGUGUGGGGGGACUGACCCCCUCCGUGCCGCAGUUAACACAAUAAGUAUUCCACCUGGGGAGUACGGCCGCAAGGCUGAAACUCAAAGGAAUUGACGGGG